GGCAAGAUGGCCGAGCGGUUAAGGCGUGUGACUCAAGCUUAGCUUGCCCACGAUUUGUGGGUUUCCUUUCUCAUUACGUAAUGUAGCAUGGGUUCAAAUCCCAUUCUUGUCA
Psilocybe cubensis is the source of this 112-nucleotide non-coding RNA. The record is from the annotation of a RefSeq genome assembly. NCBI's taxonomy places the organism in Eukaryota, Fungi, Basidiomycota, Agaricomycetes, Agaricales, Agrocybaceae.